UCACCCUGUCAGGGGUUCUCUCCACCACAUAACGAAUCUGUGGGGACAGCAAACCCUAAGAUAUCACCUCUGCUGCUUUUACUACUUACUGCUGAGUGCUGUGUGUAUUUCUCAAUGACAAGUCAAAAGGGUUCACCUAAGAAUUUUAAGAAAGCAAACCUUUCCCUGGGAUGCAUCCCAAAGCAGAAGGCCUGACUUGGACCAAAGACAUAUGCCUCCAUAUGAAAGCAGCUAGAGCUUGGACAUCUAGAAAAAUUUGUAGAGUUGAACACGAGAAGCCAGUCUUCCAAAGACAUCCUCAACACCUUCACUGGUUUGGUUUACAAGAUGAAAUAGACCACAGAUCUACAUCUGUAAGGAAAGGAUUAAUAACUUUUAGGGUAUGUGCCUUAAACAAUUGCUCGGUGGUGAAAGUUGUUGCAGAAAACAUUGACCUUUGUGGAGAAACUUGUUGCAGAAACAAAGAAGCAAAGUUUCAGUUUUGGCCUUGCAGAGGCAGGACCUAACCUGAUACUUUUUGCAGCAACCUUCUAGUGUGUUGUGUCAUAGGACAAGUGGAAAACUGCACAAGCAGGGUCACAAACUUGACUUUGGGGGUAUUUGCCUUGUAUGACCCCCAGAGCAGACCCCCGACAACCACCAAACCAAGACCAGAACAUGUGCAACGACGAGACCCCGCCCUACCUUCACCUUGUGCGAAUGAGGGAGCAUAGAAAAGUGACUCAGGGAGUGAACCAGGGUGGACCUGCCACCACAAAGGGGACCCAGGCACUGAAGGACUAACGGGACACUGCGGGAUCCACAGAGGUGACCAUUUCCUGCUUGCUCUCUCUCACUUUCCCUUUUCCCUACAUGCGUAUUGUUACAAAUAAAGUCAGUAUUGUCAAGCCAAUACUUGGUCUCAUUUGCACCUUAAUUUGCACAGAGGACUUUAACAUCAAAUCAUAGCAACAUCUUUAGUUCGUAUUGUCAGAAGCUGAAAAAAGGAGUAGCUAAAAUUUAUUUUCAGGUAAGUUACACUCAAUAUGCAUCCCAGCAAGGUAUCAGGGAGCUAGAAAGCCUGCAAACCAUAUACAAGCAAACAGAAAGAAGAGGAUAGGAUUAAAAUAGCUGAUGAUCAGAAUGGCAAACAGACAUAAAGCUUUUAGGAUCUAAACCUCCAUUUUUCCUGGGGGGGAAACCACCA
Long non-coding RNA from Corvus hawaiiensis (hawaiian crow), 1186 nucleotides. RefSeq lists it as uncharacterized. The record is from RefSeq and is a predicted model, not a curated record. Lineage: Eukaryota; Metazoa; Chordata; Aves; Passeriformes; Corvidae. The transcript is spliced from 3 exons.